CCUACGUGAGGCAGCAGUGAGGAAUAUUGGUCAAUGGGCGCGAGCCUGAACCAGCCAAGUAGCGUGAAGGAUGACUGCCCUACGGGUUGUAAACUUCUUUUAUAAAGGAAUAAAGUGAGGCACGUGUGCCUUUUUGUAUGUACUUUAUGAAUAAGGAUCGGCUAACUCCGUGCCAGCAGCCGCGGUAAUACGGAGGAUCCGAGCGUUAUCCGGAUUUAUUGGGUUUAAAGGGAGCGUAGAUGGGUUGUUAAGUCAGUUGUGAAAGUUUGCGUCUCAACCGUAAAAUUGCAAUUGAUACUGGCAGUCUUGAGUACAGUUGAGGUAGGCGGAAUUCGUGGUGUAGCGGUGAAAUGCUUAGAUAUCACGAAGAACUCCGAUUGCGAAGGCAGCUUACUAAACUGCCACUGACAUUGAUGCUCGAAAGUGUGGGUAUCAAACAGGAUUAGAUACCCUUGUAGUC
This 460-nucleotide ribosomal RNA is filed under the name uncultured bacterium. RNAcentral's name for it is "partial 16S ribosomal RNA". It matches the Rfam family "Bacterial small subunit ribosomal RNA", at positions 338 to 795 of the family's 1533-position model. The record is from RNAcentral.